AUUGAACGCUGGCGGCAUGCCUUACACAUGCAAGUCGAACGGUAACAGGUCUUCGGAUGCUGACAAGUGGCGAACGGGUGAGUAAUACAUCGGAAGUGCCCGAUCGUGGGGGAUAACGGAGCGAAAGCUUUGCUAAUACCGCAUACGAUCUACGGAUGAAAGCGGGGGAUCUUCGGACCUCGCGCGGACGGAGCGGCCGAUGACAGAUUAGGUAUUGGUGGGAUAAAAGCUUACCAAGCCGACGAUCUGUAGCUGGUCUGAGAGGAUGAUCAGCCACACUGGGACUGAGACACGGCCCAG
This 300-nucleotide ribosomal RNA is filed under the name uncultured Alicycliphilus sp. RNAcentral describes it as "bacterial SSU rRNA". It matches the Rfam family "Bacterial small subunit ribosomal RNA", at positions 30 to 334 of the family's 1533-position model. The record is from RNAcentral. Lineage: Bacteria; Pseudomonadati; Pseudomonadota; Betaproteobacteria; Burkholderiales; Comamonadaceae.